AGGUUAGUGCAAAAGUAAUUGCAGUUUUUGUCAUUGAAAGUAAUGGCAAAAACUGCAAUUGCUUU
Molecule: microRNA precursor, 65 nt
Filed under: Mandrillus leucophaeus (drill)
Lineage: Eukaryota; Metazoa; Chordata; Mammalia; Primates; Cercopithecidae
Description: miRNA (ENSMLEG00000024365.1)
Source: RNAcentral